UUUAUGGAGAGUUUGAUCCUGGCUCAGGAUGAACGCUGGCGGCGUGCCUAAUACAUGCAAGUCGAGCGAACAGAUAAGGAGCUUGCUCCUUUGACGUUAGCGGCGGACGGGUGAGUAACACGUGGGUAACCUACCUAUAAGACUGGAAUAACUCCGGGAAACCGGGGCUAAUGCCGGAUAACAUGUUGAACCGCAUGGUUCUACAGUGAAAGACGGUCUUGCUGUCACUUAUAGAUGGACCCGCGCCGUAUUAGCUAGUUGGUGGGGUAACGGCCUACCAAGGCGACGAUACGUAGCCGACCUGAGAGGGUGAUCGGCCACACUGGAACUGAGACACGGUCCAGACUCCUACGGGAGGCAGCAGUAGGGAAUCUUCCGCAAUGGGCGAAAGCCUGACGGAGCAACGCCGCGUGAGUGAUGAAGGUCUUCGGAUCGUAAAGCUCUGUUGUUAGGGAAGAACAAAUGUGUAAGUAACUGUGCACAUCUUGACGGUACCUAACCAGAAAGCCACGGCUAACUACGUGCCAGCAGCCGCGGUAAUACGUAGGUGGCAAGCGUUAUCCGGAAUUAUUGGGCGUAAAGCGCGCGUAGGCGGUUUUUUAAGUCUGAUGUGAAAGCCCACGGCUCAACCGUGGAGGGUCAUUGGAAACUGGAAAACUUGAGUGCAGAAGAGGAAAGUGGAAUUCCAUGUGUAGCGGUGAAAUGCGCAGAGAUAUGGAGGAACACCAGUGGCGAAGGCGGCUUUCUGGUCUGCAACUGACGCUGAUGUGCGAAAGCGUGGGGAUCAAACAGGAUUAGAUACCCUGGUAGUCCACGCCGUAAACGAUGAGUGCUAAGUGUUAGGG
This 845-nucleotide ribosomal RNA is filed under the name Staphylococcus pseudintermedius. Its description in RNAcentral is "bacterial SSU rRNA". It matches the Rfam family "Bacterial small subunit ribosomal RNA", at positions 1 to 828 of the family's 1533-position model. Lineage: Bacteria; Bacillati; Bacillota; Bacilli; Caryophanales; Staphylococcaceae. The record is from RNAcentral.